Saimiri boliviensis boliviensis (Bolivian squirrel monkey) is the source of this 103-nucleotide small nucleolar RNA. RefSeq annotates it as small nucleolar RNA U13. The record is from RefSeq and is a predicted model, not a curated record. Lineage: Eukaryota; Metazoa; Chordata; Mammalia; Primates; Cebidae.
AUCCUUUUGUAAUUCAUGAGCAUGAUGAUGGGAUAUCACACUCGUGUGAGAUAUGCCUCCCUCAAACCUUCUUCCUGUUGGUUGGAACUUUGCCCACCUGACA